Molecule: long non-coding RNA, 2063 nt
Filed under: Capsicum annuum
Lineage: Eukaryota; Viridiplantae; Streptophyta; Magnoliopsida; Solanales; Solanaceae
Description: long non-coding RNA (CANN_LNC007656)
Source: RNAcentral
AAGACAACAAAGUAGACAAGGAACGGUGGAAUAUUCAACACACAUUGGUGUGGACCGUAUUUGAUGCUGAUCUCUAGCAGUCAACUUGGACUGUUAAAACUCUUCAAUCUUUUCCCCUUUUUGUCCUAGGUUUGUGUUGCAACGGAAUGGAAGAAACUGGAGAAAAAUAAAUAAAUCAGAGAAUAAACAAAAUUCAUUGAAUUGAUUCUUGUGUUAAAAAAUAAAAGACUCCAGCUAAAAGAAAUAAAUAAAAGAAAAGAAAAUAUGUUAUGUUAUUUUCCUUAAAAGCACUAAACUAAAAAGAAACAAAAUAUUUUGUAAUGAAUAUGUAUAUCCUAGACUUAAAAAGGAAUACAAAUGUUUUACAAUAUUUCUAGACUAAAAAGAAAGUAAAUAUUCUUCUAUUUAUGAUUUACACUAAUGGAAGAAUAUUUACUUUCUUUUUAGUCUAGGAAAAUAAAUUUUAACAUGUAUUUCCUCUGCCUCCUUAACUCCCCUUAGCUCUUCUUCUAAGUUUUCAUGUUCACUUGAAAAAAGAAAAAGAGAAACAAUGGCAGGAGGAGUAGCAGUAGCAGCAAAUGAAGGAGAACAGUACCAUGGAAAACUGACAAAUUUUGUGAUAUUAGCUUGUAUGAUGGCUGCGAUGGGAGGUCUAAUCUUUGGAUAUGACAUUGGAAUUUCAGGUUUGAUUUUUCUGCGUUUUCUUAAGUUAUACAUACAAUCAUGACACACCUAGUAAAGGUUUCAAUUGUCCAACGAAUUAUGUUUCUUAUUAAUUACCUUCAUUUUUCUUAAUGUACAAGUAUGAAUCAAUUGAUCUAUUUUUAUUUCACUUACACAAGUUAUGAAAAUGUGAAGGUGGAGUAACUUCUAUGGAGCCUUUUCUAAAAAAGUUCUUCCAUGAUGUGUACAUUAAGAUGAAAGAAGACAAAGAAGUUAGCAACUACUGCAAAUUUGACAGCCAUUUGUUGACAUCAUUCACAUCGUCCCUAUAUGUAGCUGGUCUUUUUUCUAGUUUUCUUGCCUCAUCAGUCACCAGAGCGUUUGGUCGCAAAGCCUCAAUCCUUCUUGGGGGAGCUAAUUUCCUGGCUGGUGCAGCACUUGGUGGAGCUGCUUCUAAUAUCUAUAUGCUUAUACUUGGCAGAGUUUUAUUAGGUGUUGGUGUUGGUUUUGCAAAUCAGGUAAAACUUUCGGUCUGUUCCAAAAAGAAUAGCACAUUUCCCUGUUUUUAAAUGAUUUAAACUCUGAUUUUACUCCACAUGCUCACAUAAUCAUAGAAAUGCAAUGACAUGUUUCUAAGAGUUCUUUUGAUAUGUGCCUAAAUUCUUUCAUUUUUAUACUCCGUAUCUGCAAUCAUUUAAAAAUGAAAUGAAAGCUGUUCUAAAGGUACACGUUCUAUAUUUUCACUAUUCUAAAGAAAAUGAGGAGUUCUCAAAAUGCAAAUCAGGUAAUAAAAGGGGAUGGUUUCUUUUAGUACAUUCAAAAAAGAAUUAUACUUUUUCAUAUCUAGAAAUACUUCCGAUUUAUUCUUAAUGUCGCGACAUGUUAAAGAUCACAAGUUUCAUAGAAACUUUCGAUAUGUGCUAAAGGUUUUCCGGUACCUAGUGGAACACAGUCAAUUAAAAGGAAAUGGAGGCAUUGCUUCUGUACUAGUAGCUGAACUUCCUCUGUUUGCACUCUAGGAUAUAAAACUGGAAGUUCUCAAAAUGAUAACUCUAGGACUUCCCCAGCUUUAACCAAUUUACCAUUCUUGUUCCUUUUUGAGACUAAACCAGCUCAAUCAACUAUCUUUUUUUUUUUUUUAUAGCUAAAACUAUGUUUUCACAACUUUGCAGGCUGUACCAUUGUAUCUGUCAGAAAUGGCACCAUCCAAGUACAGAGGAGGAUUCAACAAUAGCUUUCAACUAAGUAUAGGUAUUGGAGUUCUAAUAGCAAACCUUGUAAAUUAUGGCACUCAGAAGGUCAAAGGUGGCUGGGGAUGGAGAGUCUCACUAGCUAUGGCUGCAGUUCCAGCGUCCAUGUUAACGUUAGGCGCAUUGUUCCUCCCAGAUACCCCCAACAGC